RNAcentral lists this ribosomal RNA (460 nucleotides) under uncultured bacterium. Its description in RNAcentral is "partial 16S ribosomal RNA". It matches the Rfam family "Bacterial small subunit ribosomal RNA", at positions 338 to 795 of the family's 1533-position model. The record is from RNAcentral.
CCUACGGGUGGCUGCAGUGAGGAAUAUUGGUCAAUGGGCGCGAGCCUGAACCAGCCAAGCAGCGUGAAGGAUGAAUGUCCUGCGUAUUGUAAACCUCUUUUAUCAGGGAACAAAGUGGGGCACUUGUGCCCUUUUGUGUGUACUUUACGAAUAAGGAUCGGCUAACUCCGUGCCAGCAGCCGCGGUAAUACGGAGGAUCCGAGCGUUAUCCGGAUUUAUUGGGUUUAAAGGGGGCGUAGAUGGGUCUGUAAGUCAGGUGUGAAAGUCCGGGGCUCAACCCCGGGACUGCAAUUGAUACUGGGAGGCUAGAGUGCAGGAGAGGUAGGCGGAAUUCGUGGUGUAGCGGUGAAAUGCGUAGAUAUCAGGAAGAACACCGAUGGCGAAGGCAGCUUGCUGGACUGUGACUGACGUUGAGGCACGAAAGUGUGGGGAGCAAACAGGAUUAGAUACCCCAGUAGUC